CCUACGGGUGGCAGCAGUGGGGAAUAUUGGACAAUGGGGGCAACCCUGAUCCAGCCAUGCCGCGUGUGUGAAGAAGGCCCUCGGGUUGUAAAGCACUUUCAGUGAGGAAGAACGCCUGGUGGUUAAUACCCAUCAGGAAAGACAUCACUCACAGAAGAAGCACCGGCUAACUCCGUGCCAGCAGCCGCGGUAAUACGGAGGGUGCGAGCGUUAAUCGGAAUUACUGGGCGUAAAGCGCGCGUAGGUGGCUUGAUAAGCCGGUUGUGAAAGCCCCGGGCUCAACCUGGGAACGGCAUCCGGAACUGUCAAGCUAGAGUGCAGGAGAGGAAGGUAGAAUUCCCGGUGUAGCGGUGAAAUGCGUAGAGAUCGGGAGGAAUACCAGUGGCGAAGGCGGCCUUCUGGACUGACACUGACACUGAGGUGCGAAAGCGUGGGUAGCAAACAGGAUUAGAACCCUAGUAGUC
This 464-nucleotide ribosomal RNA is filed under the name Vreelandella stevensii. RNAcentral's name for it is "partial 16S ribosomal RNA". It matches the Rfam family "Bacterial small subunit ribosomal RNA", at positions 338 to 795 of the family's 1533-position model. The record is from RNAcentral. Lineage: Bacteria; Pseudomonadati; Pseudomonadota; Gammaproteobacteria; Oceanospirillales; Halomonadaceae.